AUAAAAUUAGUUAAAUAUAUAACUUAAGCUUGUCAUGCUUAGAUUAUUCUUAUGAAUAUUUUUUA
Molecule: transfer RNA, 65 nt
Filed under: Neaxius glyptocercus (red mud lobster)
Lineage: Eukaryota; Metazoa; Arthropoda; Malacostraca; Decapoda; Strahlaxiidae
Description: tRNA-Asp
Source: RNAcentral